Non-coding RNA from Lonchura striata (white-rumped munia), 695 nucleotides. The record is from RefSeq and is a predicted model, not a curated record. NCBI's taxonomy places the organism in Eukaryota, Metazoa, Chordata, Aves, Passeriformes, Estrildidae.
AGCUCUGUUCCUGCCCAGUACUGGGACCAUGAGUGUCAUUUUGAAAUUUGUCAAAAGGUUUGAGCUUGUAUGUGGGACUGGUGCUGGAAUAUGCCAAAGAACUGCUCCUAUUCGGUGUGACUGAGGCUUCAAAACACCAAAAACUGUGUGGGAACUGCUUUUGAGGCCUCGAGUCUGAGCCCCCUGGUCUUGUACACAAAACUCCUGCUUGUUCCCUGCUGAGUAAAUAAUUUCUCCAUGAGAAGAGUCUGUGGAGGGCCAUGCCAAGAUUUUCUGUGCAAGGAAAAAUUACUUUAGAGUGGAUGAGCCUGAUGUCUGUGCUGUGUCCCUCCAUUACUGCACCUUCCAUGGAAUUAAAUGGAACAAAAUGGAGCAAUUAAUGGACAAAAAGGAAAAGCUCAUCAUGGAUGUGUGCUACGGAAUAGUAAAAGCUAUGAGGACUUUAUAUGGGAGGGAAAAAAUAUGGAUUUAUAGCAAAUAAAGGGUUUCAGGGAGGUCCCAGAGUAAAGAGCCCUUAUGAUGUGCCACAGCCCCAACACACCUCUAAUUAGGAUGAAUUUCCCUUCUGCUGGAGUUAAUGCAUUAUGUAUUGAAAUAAUUUGUGUUCAUUUGUAGCAAAUAAUUAUUUAAAAAUGUUAUCAUUCAUUUGUAUUGUUUGAGUUCUCUAUUAAUUCUAUAAAUAAUUGUUCAAAAGA